Molecule: ribosomal RNA, 253 nt
Filed under: uncultured bacterium
Lineage: Bacteria
Description: partial 16S ribosomal RNA
Rfam family: Bacterial small subunit ribosomal RNA
Source: RNAcentral
UACGCAGGGUGCGGACGUUGUCCGGAAUUACUGGGCGUAAAGACCUCGUAGGUGGUUUGUCGCGUUGUUCGUGAAAUCUCACGGCUUAACUGUGAGCGUGCGGGCGAUACGGGCAGACUAGAGUACUGCAGGGGAGACUGGAAGUCCUGGUGUAGCGGUGGAAUGCGCAGAUAUCAGGAGGAACACCGGUGGCGAAGGCGGGUCUCUGGGCAGUAACUGACGCUGAGGAGCGAAAGCGUGGGGAGCGAACAGG